RNAcentral lists this unclassified non-coding RNA (328 nucleotides) under soil metagenome. Its description in RNAcentral is "partial contains 5.8S ribosomal RNA, internal transcribed spacer 2, and large subunit ribosomal RNA". The stretch from base 2 to 119 matches the Rfam family "5.8S ribosomal RNA", at positions 37 to 154 of the family's 154-position model. The record is from RNAcentral.
GUGAAGAACGCAGCGAAAUGCGAUAAGUAAUGUGAAUUGCAGAAUUCAGUGAAUCAUCGAAUCUUUGAACGCACAUUGCGCCCCCUGGUAUUCCGGGGGGCAUGCCUGUCCGAGCGUCAUUACAACCCUCAAGCUCAGCUUGGUGUUGGGCCCCGCCGCCCCGGCGGGCCCUAAAGUCAGUGGCGGUGCCGUCCGGCUCCGAGCGUAGUAAUUCUUCUCGCUCUGGAGGUCCGGUCGUGUGCUCGCCAGCAACCCCCAAUUUUUUUCAGGUUGACCUCGGAUCAGGUAGGGAUACCCGCUGAACUUAAGCAUAUCAAUAAGCGGAGGA